AGAGUUUGAUCCUGGCUCAGAGUGAACGCUGGCGGUAGGCCUAACACAUGCAAGUCGAACGGCAGCACAGUAGGAGCUUGCUCUUACGGGUGGCGAGUGGCGGACGGGUGAGGAAUACAUCGGAAUCUACCUUUUGGUGGGGGAUAACGUAGGGAAACUUACGCUAAUACCGCAUACGCCCUUCGGGGGAAAGCCGGGGACCAGCAAUGGCCUGGCGCUGAUAGAUGAGCCGAUGUCGGAUUAGCUAGUUGGUGAGGUAAUGGCUCACCAAGGCGACGAUCCGUAGCUGGUCUGAGAGGAUGAUCAGCCACACUGGAACUGAGACACGGUCCAGACUCCUACGGGAGGCAGCAGUGGGGAAUAUUGGACAAUGGGCGCAAGCCUGAUCCAGCCAUACCGCGUGGGUGAAGAAGGCCUUCGGGUUGUAAAGCCCUUUUGUUGGGAAAGAAAAGCAUUCGGUUAAUACCCGGGUGUUCUGACGGUACCCAAAGAAUAAGCACCGGCUAACUUCGUGCCAGCAGCCGCGGUAAUACGAAGGGUGCAAGCGUUACUCGGAAUUACUGGGCGUAAAGCGUGCGUAGGCGGCGUGUCACGCCGGGUGUGAAAGCCCCGGGCUCAACCUGGGAACGGCAUCCGGAACGGGCAGGCUAGAGUGCAGGAGAGGAAGGUAGAAUUCCCGGUGUAGCGGUGAAAUGCGUAGAGAUCGGGAAGGAAUACCAGUGGUGAAGGCGGCCUUCUGGACUGACACUGACGCUGAGGUGCGAAAGCGUGGGUAGCAAACAGGAUUAGAUACCCUGGUAGUCCACGCCGUAAACGAUGUCGACUAGCCGUUGGGUCCCUUGAGGACUUAGUGGCGCAGUUAACGCGAUAAGUCGACCGCCUGGGGAGUACGGCCGCAAGGUUAAAACUCAAAUGAAUUGACGGGGGCCCGCACAAGCGGUGGAGCAUGUGGUUUAAUUCGAUGCAACGCGAAGAACCUUACCUACCCUUGACAUCCUGCGAACCCGGAAGAGAUUCCGGGGUGCCUUCGGGAGCGCAGAGACAGGUGCUGCAUGGCUGUCGUCAGCUCGUGUUGUGAAAUGUUGGGUUAAGUCCCGUAACGAGCGCAACCCUUGUCCCUAUUUGCCAGCGAUUCGGUCGGGAACUCUAGGGAGACUGCCGGUGACAAACCGGAGGAAGGUGGGGACGACGUCAAGUCAUCAUGGCCCUUACGGGUAGGGCUACACACGUGCUACAAUGGCCGGUACAAAGGGUUGCGAAGCCGCGAGGUGAAGCCAAUCCCAGAAAGCCGGCCUCAGUCCGGAUUGGAGUCUGCAACUCGACUCCAUGAAGUCGGAAUCGCUAGUAAUCGUGCAUCAGAAUGGCACGGUGAAUACGUUCCCGGGCCUUGUACACACCGCCCGUCACACCAUGGGAGUGG
RNAcentral lists this ribosomal RNA (1420 nucleotides) under uncultured Chromohalobacter sp. Its description in RNAcentral is "16S ribosomal RNA". It matches the Rfam family "Bacterial small subunit ribosomal RNA". Lineage: Bacteria; Pseudomonadati; Pseudomonadota; Gammaproteobacteria; Oceanospirillales; Halomonadaceae. The record is from RNAcentral.